Molecule: ribosomal RNA, 497 nt
Filed under: uncultured bacterium
Lineage: Bacteria
Description: partial 16S ribosomal RNA
Rfam family: Bacterial small subunit ribosomal RNA
Source: RNAcentral
GACGAACGCUGGCGGCGUGCCUAAUACAUGCCAGUUGAGCGCUGAAGGUUGGUACUUGUACCAACUGGAUGAGCAGCAAACGGGUGAGUAACGCGUGGGGAAUCUGCCUUUGAGCGGGGGACAACAUUUGGAAACGAAUGCUAAUACCGCAUAAAAACUUUAAACACAAGUUUUAAGUUUGAAAGAUGCAAUUGCAUCACUCAAAGAUGAUCCCGCGUUGUAUUAGCUAGUUGGUGAGGUAAAGGCUCACCAAGGCGAUGAUACAUAGCCGACCUGAGAGGGUGAUCGGCCACAUUGGGACUGAGACACGGCCCAAACUCCUACGGGAGGCAGCAGUAGGGAAUCUUCGGCAAUGGACGAAAGUCUGACCGAGCAACGCCGCGUGAGUGAAGAAGGUUUUCGGAUCGUAAAACUCUGUUGGUAGAGAAGAACGUUGGUGAGAGUGGAAAGCUCAUCAAGUGACGGUAACUACCCAGAAAGGGACGGCUAACUACGUG